CGAUAUGGAAAAUCAUACCGUGGGUAUUUUGAGAUACCCUGGUAUACAGUAUAUCGGCCUACUCUGGACCCUCAGUAUAUACUACUGCCUGUAUAGGUAUAUUGGCCUACUCUGGACCCUCAGUAUAUACUACUGCCUGUAUAGGUAUAUUGGCCUACUCUGGACCCUCAGUAUAUACUACUGCCUGUAUAGGUAUAUUGGCCUACUCUGGACCCUCAGUAUAUACUACUGCCUGUAUAGGUAUAUUGGCCUACUCUGGACCCUCAGUAUAUACUACUGCCUGUAUAGGUAUAUUGGCCUAUUCUGGACCCUCAGUAUAUACUACUGCCUG
Molecule: long non-coding RNA, 331 nt
Organism: Oncorhynchus keta (chum salmon)
Lineage: Eukaryota; Metazoa; Chordata; Actinopteri; Salmoniformes; Salmonidae
Exons: 3
Source: RefSeq, a predicted model, not a curated record